UACGGAGGGUGCGAGCGUUGUCCGGAAUCACUGGGCGUAAAGGGCGCGUAGGUGGCGUCGCAAGUCAACGGUGAAAGCUCGACGCUCAACGUCGAGUCGGCCGUCGAGACUGCGAGGCUUGAGCACUGUAGAGGCAGAUGGAAUUCCGGGUGUAGCGGUGGAAUGCGUAGAGAUCCGGAAGAACACCGGUGGCGAAGGCGGUCUGCUGGGCAGUUGCUGACACUGAGGCGCGACAGCGUGGGGAGCGAACAGG
RNAcentral lists this ribosomal RNA (253 nucleotides) under uncultured bacterium. RNAcentral describes it as "partial 16S ribosomal RNA". It matches the Rfam family "Bacterial small subunit ribosomal RNA", at positions 524 to 776 of the family's 1533-position model. The record is from RNAcentral.